AUAAAUAAAUAAAUUGAAAUGAUACACAGAUUAGCAUGACCCUUGCACAAAGAUGGCACAUAAAUUUGUGAAAUUUAAGUGUUCCAUAUUUUA
This 93-nucleotide small nuclear RNA is filed under the name Otolemur garnettii (small-eared galago). Lineage: Eukaryota; Metazoa; Chordata; Mammalia; Primates; Galagidae. The record is from RNAcentral.